Molecule: long non-coding RNA, 645 nt
Organism: Spinacia oleracea (spinach)
Lineage: Eukaryota; Viridiplantae; Streptophyta; Magnoliopsida; Caryophyllales; Amaranthaceae
Exons: 2
Source: RefSeq, a predicted model, not a curated record
AGGGCCUUUAUGUUAAUUAACGGGUCUCUUAUACCAAAGUAAAAAUAACAAAAGACCCGUCAUUUAAGAUAUCGGGUCUCUAUUUUUAUUCAUUUCCCAGCGCCAAACUUUCGCAGAACCCAAUUUCACCCUAGCUAGUUGUCUUCGCCCUUUUCUUCUUCUUCUUCUUCUUCUUCUUCUUCUUCUUCUUCUUCCCUGGAUAUACAAACCAGUAGGGCAAGAAAUCUGUUCGCGAACUCUUCACGAACUCACCACCACGGGCGAAUCUACAACCGAAUAAAUACUUUACGGUUGACGACUUCACUACCACCGGCGACCUCAACACAAUCUCUAGCGAACUACAUAUUUAGCUUUCUCAAGAAACCUAUUCGUCGGAAAAUGUUGACGAGGUUAGAGACUUGUGGGUCGAGUAUUUUCUCAAGCCAGAUGAAGAAAACAAAGAUGAUGGUGUGGAAAUAACUCCAUGAGUUUUGGUUCUAAUAUUGGUAAAUUGAUGUGGAUGAUUAGAUUUUAGAACUUUUUGUUUUACGUUUUUGGAAAUUACGAUGUCAAGGUUUUACGUUAAUGAAAAUUACAAUUAAUGUAUAACGGUUGCGUUUUGAGCAUUACUUCUGGGAAUAUAUUUUUUGGUAACAUUAUGGACUA